This 75-nucleotide transfer RNA is filed under the name Minisyncoccota bacterium. RNAcentral describes it as "tRNA-Asp". It matches the Rfam family "tRNA". From Rfam's summary of the family: Transfer RNA (tRNA) molecules are approximately 80 nucleotides in length. Their secondary structure includes four short double-helical elements and three loops (D, anti-codon, and T loops). Further hydrogen bonds mediate the characteristic L-shaped molecular structure. tRNAs have two regions of fundamental functional importance: the anti-codon, which is responsible for specific mRNA codon recognition, and the 3' end, to which the tRNAs corresponding amino acid is attached (by aminoacyl-tRNA synthetases). tRNAs cope with the degeneracy of the genetic code in two manners: having more than one tRNA (with a specific anti-codon) for a particular amino acid; and 'wobble' base-pairing, i.e. permitting non-standard base-pairing at the 3rd anti-codon position. The record is from RNAcentral. Lineage: Bacteria; Bacillati; Minisyncoccota.
GCGGGUGUAGUUCAGCUUGGUUAGAACGCCGCACUGUCACUGCGGAGGUCGCCGGUUCAAAUCCGGUCGCCCGCG